AUUAAAAAUUAUGAUGAACAAGAUACUGCCCCAGUCUGAGAACUGUGAUUGAUUCAGUUAACUGAUAAA
This 69-nucleotide small nucleolar RNA is filed under the name Trachymyrmex septentrionalis. The record is from RNAcentral. Lineage: Eukaryota; Metazoa; Arthropoda; Insecta; Hymenoptera; Formicidae.